RNAcentral lists this ribosomal RNA (330 nucleotides) under uncultured Tremellaceae. Its description in RNAcentral is "eukaryotic LSU rRNA". The stretch from base 1 to 63 matches the Rfam family "5.8S ribosomal RNA", at positions 92 to 154 of the family's 154-position model. The record is from RNAcentral. Lineage: Eukaryota; Fungi; Basidiomycota; Tremellomycetes; Tremellales; Tremellaceae.
UCGAAUCUUUGAACGCAACUUGCGCUCUCUGGUAUUCCGGAGAGCAUGCCUGUUUGAGUGUCAUGAUCUCUCAACCAAUAGAGUUUUCUAUUGGCUUGGAUCUGGGUGUUGCGAGCGAUCGCUCACCUUAAAGGAGUUAGCAUAUAGCAUGUCGUUUGGCGUAAUAAGUUUCGCUUAGUAAAUCGACAAGGCUUUGCUUCUAAUCGUCUUUUGACUUUUUUGACUCUGGCCUCAAAUCAGGUAGGACUACCCGCUGAACUUAAGCAUAUAAAGGGCCGGAGGAAAGAUCAGACAAGACUACCCGCUGAAUUUAAGCAUAUCAAUAAGCGG